GCUCUCUUCCCCCCCGGGAGGCUUCCCUCGGGCUGUCUCCGCCGGGAUGCGUUGGAGGCCCCGGUGGGAGAGGGGGAGCUGCUCUGAGGGUAGGUUGCGGAGGGGCUUUGUGUCGGGACGCUUCCAAACGGGGCGUGAAACUCCCUCCUGGCUGAAGAAGAGCGGUGGUGGCAAAGCGUUCCCGUCGAGGGAAGCGUUGGUAGCGAGAGUGAGUGUGUUUGUGUGUUCAGAAGGUGCUCAGUGCUUGGCAGUUUAAGACUUUUGACCGUGGAGUCGAUUAAAAGGUUUUAAAGCCUGCUCUGCCGUUAUUUUGACCUGGAAAGCAACGUAAUGUACUUGAGGCACGUAGCGGGGCAAGGGCUGCCUGUUGCCCUCUGCCCUGUUGGACUGCAUCCCUGCUGCCGGGGAGCGGGCUCUCCUGGAGCUAGAGUCAAUCAAUCCACGGGAACCGGGAGCUGUUGGAAGCAGUUGAAGAACUAACACACCAGAAGGAGAGAAGCAACGUGUCUGCCCCUUCCACUGGAGCCUUCCAUCAAGAGAGGGCAGGAGCCUUGGGAAGGAUGUGCUUCCAGACACAAGCCUGAGCUGCAGAAGGUGCAUUACAGAUGAAGUGCCAGUGAAAAGUUUUCUGUAAUGCUUCCUCCCACAGUUGGAGAAGAAGUCACAGUAAUAUGAAGGUUGCCAGUGAUGGAAGACAUUCAUCCACACCUUUAAAUAUGGCUUAAAUCAUGAAGAAAUACAGUUUAUUUUCUUUGUAUUUUGUUUUUAUAGUGUACCCUGAUGUAGUGUGCUUCUGUGGGACACAAGAGUGUGUGUCUUGACAGAGUGGGAUGAUGGUCAUUUUAUUACUGUUCUGAAGGCCUAAUUUUAUAUCACAUAACGUAGGUGUCUAGUCCUCCUUAGAGUCCAGAAUGGGUAGGAGUCUUGGACUGUGUCCUUUCCUGUACGUUACCAGCUUAUCUUUCCUUCUUCCAAAAAUACAUGGAUUUAGAGUAUUGGAUUACAUAAGUAUCCGGAGAAAUGCCUAAACUGCUACUGCUCUUGCCUUCUUAAAUUACAGUGAUUAAAACAUAUGGGUUUUACCUAAGUUUAUUUUAUAUAUAUAGCUUUCUGGCAGAUUUUGCUAUGGUGAAAUGUCUUGAAUAGACUUACAAAAACAACAGUCUUCUUCAAUUUUAAUAGUAAUAUCGUAUAUAGAAUUUGAGAGAAUGAUAGUUUUUGCCAGCUUACAUACUAAUUGUAUAUUUUCUAGUAUUCAGACCUGAUUAAUGCAUUUUCCUAUUUGCAAUGGACUAUUUUAGUUUUACGGAUUGGAUAGCUGUUGAUGCAUUAACAAGAAGGUGCAAAAUAUGCUGCAGGGCUGAUAUUUUAAGUCUUAAUUUAAGUCUUAACUUGGACUUCUGAUUUUGAUACUGUUUCUAACAUUCCUGAUGUUAGUCUUAGUUAAAGAAUUACAUGUAGCUCAUAGAGAACCAAAAUGAAAUUGCAGCUUUUUUAUUAACAAGCACUACGUGCUUCAAAGUGCGUGUCUUUACCACUGUGCUGAUCCCGCUGAGGUAUGAACUACUAAAGCCCUUAGCUACAGUAUAUCAGCUCUUCAGUUCACACAGCAGCAACUUGCUCCCUUCCCUCAGAAGCUCUGUCAUGUUGUAGGCAGGAUAAUUGACAGUCGUUGUGCUGGCAGUGUAUAAAAAUCACAUGGCUGGGCUACCACAGACUUCUGUGUUUUCAUAGCCAGGGAAAACAGAAAAAUUGUUCGUUUUCCUGAUCUUCUGUGCUACGGAAAAUGUUAGUCUGACAUAUGAAUGCAAUUAAUAAGUACCUGGUAGUGAGGGGAAAUACAGAUCUCCAAGAGAUAAGGGGUUUGUUAACUAGCCAUUUCUAAUUAUUGUAUUUGUAUAAAUAGCCUGCCAAGGAAUUCAGUCAAGCAAAAUACAUAAGAAAUGUCAGGAAUGAAAACUAACUUUGGCUGCUUGCGCUUGUAGAGGCUGGAAAAAGUUGCAGGGUGCAUGGCACAAGCGGUACUGCAGGAGCAGAUAUUGCUAGUGAUGCUUAUUUAGCUAACAUACUUGCAGAACUUUAAUUAAAAGAUUAAGGGACUCAAAGAAGUCUAUUUGCCUUGCUGUUUUAGCAUAGCACCAAUAAUAUGGCACUUCUGACAAUGAAAAUAUGGAGCUUCUGGGUAUAAACAUGGAGAUUCUGCUUGGGUUCUCAGACUUUUGUUCUUAAGGCAAAUGUAUAAAACUACAGAGGCUAAGGGAAAUGCUGCUGUCAACCUGCUUUAUGAAUGCUACUGGAGAGAAGGUUGAGUUUCCCAAGUAAUUCAUAGAUUUCUCAUAGCUGGAGAUUGCCAUGGGAACAUUGAAGUCAUUUAAUCUCUUCCUUGUAGAGUGCCACCCACUUCUGUGUUCCACCUGCCCUCAAAGGUCUUCCCCUUGCCCUUCUGUCUCUGCAGUAAACUUACAGAUGUGAAUUGCUUUCUGCACUGUAAUAUUCCUUGGGUACUAUUUUAUUGUUUUACUGUUGUUUGCUUAUUUUUUUACACUUUCUGCCUUUUCCUGCUAUUCCGUUCCUAUAAAUAAAGUGUGUUCUUCCUUGUCGUAACUGUACAUAUGUAAGCUCCAAAGAUGUCUUUACAGAUGCACUGGAGCAUAAGAUGAGACAAUGUACUUAAUUUCAAAUUCACAUGUUUCUUUAAACUUGGGAACUACAGAGACAUUUAAAAAAAACCAAACCAAACAACACACCAUUAAGAUUUUCAGGUCACAGGUUCUUCUUUUUAUUU
This is a long non-coding RNA of Cuculus canorus (common cuckoo), 2785 nucleotides long. RefSeq lists it as uncharacterized. The record is from RefSeq and is a predicted model, not a curated record. NCBI's taxonomy places the organism in Eukaryota, Metazoa, Chordata, Aves, Cuculiformes, Cuculidae. The transcript has 3 exons.